UACGUAGGGUGCGAGCGUUGUCCGGAAUUACUGGGCGUAAAGAGCUCGUAGGUGGUUUGUCGCGUUGUUCGUGAAAACUCACAGCUUAACUGUGGGCGUGCGGGCGAUACGGGCAGACUGGAGUACUGCAGGGGAGACUGGAAUUCCUGGUGUAGCAGUGAAAUGCGUAGAUAUCAUAAGGAACACCGGUGGCGAAGGCGGUUACCUGGAAGAUUCCUGACUCUGAAACACGAAAGCCAGGGGAGCAAACGGG
Molecule: ribosomal RNA, 253 nt
Filed under: uncultured bacterium
Lineage: Bacteria
Description: partial 16S ribosomal RNA
Rfam family: Bacterial small subunit ribosomal RNA
Source: RNAcentral